UAGGCCAAUUGGCAGAGCCUUGUAGUUUCUUCUGAAUCAAACUGCCAUUGCUGAUUCAUAAAUAGGGUUUGCAAGUGGAUAGAGCUACUGCUGGUGAUUAGUGUAAACUGAACUGCUGAUAUUCGGACAAUGAAGAUUGGAUUCAUCCCAAAGAAUUGUUUCUAAAGAGGUCCACAUCCUUCUUUGUCCUAUUAACCUUUCCUUUCCAGUACCACUGUGAAAGAAGACCCUUGUUGGAAUACUGCUUUGGGCUAAGGAAAUUAGAACUACUGUAUGACAUGGUAGAAGCUUCUAUAUUAUAUACUCAUCUAUGUUUAUCUCUCUACAAGAGAUCCAUGAACCUUGAGUGAAGAGGGUUGAUGAAAACAUCCCACUUAGGACUGAGUGGUCUCAAGCCUCUCACUCUUUGAGCAUCGUCCAGCUCUGGAUCUCUGUUAGUUUCCAUCUCCCGCAGGAUGGAGCUUCAGGAGAGCCAGGAUUCCUUCUGCGAGGUACCCUUCCAUGUUUAAGGCUUUGGACUAAGGUACUUGGUAAUAAACACACAUAAUCUCC
Molecule: long non-coding RNA, 552 nt
Organism: Mastomys coucha (southern multimammate mouse)
Lineage: Eukaryota; Metazoa; Chordata; Mammalia; Rodentia; Muridae
Exons: 3
Source: RefSeq, a predicted model, not a curated record